This 492-nucleotide ribosomal RNA is filed under the name uncultured bacterium. RNAcentral's name for it is "partial 16S ribosomal RNA". It matches the Rfam family "Bacterial small subunit ribosomal RNA", at positions 29 to 507 of the family's 1533-position model. The record is from RNAcentral.
AGUGAACGCUGGCGGUAGGCCUAACACAUGCAAGUCGAACGGCAGCACAGUAAGAGCUUGCUCUUACGGGUGGCGAGUGGCGGACGGGUGAGGAAUACAUCGGAAUCUACUUUUUCGUGGGGGAUAACGUAGGGAAACUUACGCUAAUACCCCAUACGACCUACGGGUGAAAGCAGGGGAUCUUCGGACCUUGCGCGAUUGAAUGAGCCGAUGUCGGAUUAGCUAGUUGGCGGGGUAAAGGCCCACCAAGGCGACGAUCCGUAUCUGGUCUGAGAGGAUGAUCAGCCACACUGGAACUGAGACACGGUCCAGACUCCUACGGGAGGCAGCAGUGGGGAAUAUUGGACAAUGGGCGCAAGCCUGAUCCAGCCAUACCGCGUGGGUGAAGAAGGCCUUCGGGUUGUAAAGCCCUUUUGUUGGGAAAGAAAAGCAGCAGGUUAAUACCCCGCUGUUCUGACGGUACCCAAAGAAUAAGCACCGGCUAACUUCGUG